Molecule: long non-coding RNA, 3208 nt
Organism: Oncorhynchus nerka (sockeye salmon)
Lineage: Eukaryota; Metazoa; Chordata; Actinopteri; Salmoniformes; Salmonidae
Exons: 4
Source: RefSeq, a predicted model, not a curated record
GAGCUACAGUAAAAGUUAAGACAGAGCCUGUAAACAAAACUGAGAAUGACUACCACAGAAGGCAGCACUAGACAGCCAUGCAGGCAAAGGUAACACCACACACAGUUUCAGUCUCUCAUUUCUCCUUUUAAAAGCCUAACGCACAUGCAUACUCACAAAUGUUGUUGGUGUACCAGCCAUAUUAAAACCAACUAUCACUAAGUUUACAAUUGCAGACAGACGUUUCCCUUCACACCAACACUCAUAAGCUGUUCAUUUGAUGUCACCAUUACUCUCUGUUACUAAAUACAGUGCCUUCGGAAAGUAUUCAGACCGCCUUAUUCAAAAAUGUAUUAAAUCGUUUUUUUCCCCUCAUCAAUCUACACACAAUACCCCAUAAUGAAAAAUCAAAAACAGGUUCAUAGAAUUGUUUGCUCAUUUAAAAAAUAAAAAAUAAAUCACAUUUACAUAAGUAUUCAGACCCAUUACUCAGUACUUUGUUGAAGCACCUUUGGCAGUGAUUAUAGCAUCGAGUCUUCUUGGGUAUGAUGCUACAAGCUGGAACACUACAAGCUUGGAACACCUGUAUUUGGGGAGUUUGUCCAAUUCUUCUCUGCAGAUCCUCUCAAGAUCUGUCAGGUUGGAUGGGGAGCGUUGCUGCACAGCUAUUUUCAGGCCUCUCCAGAGAUGUUUGAUCGGGUUCAAGUCCGGGCUCUGGCUCAGCCACUCAAGGACGUUCAGAGACUUGUCCUGAAGCCACUCCUAUGUUGUCUUGGCUGUUUGCCUAGGGUUGUUGUCCUUUUGGAAGGUGAACCUUCACCCCAGUCUGAGGUCCUGAGCGCUCUGGAGCAGGUUUUCAUCAAGGAUCUCCCUGUACUUUUCAUCUUUGCCCCGAUCCUGACUAGUCUCCCAGUCCCUGCCACUGAAAAACAUCCCCCCCAGCAUAAUACUGCCACCACCAUGCUUCACCUUAUGAAUGAUGCCAGGUUUCCUCCUUGGCAUUCAGACCAAAGAGUUCAAUGUUGAUUUCAUCAGACCAGAGAAUCUUGAUUCUCAUGGUCUGAGAGUCUUUAGGUGCCUUUUGGCAAACUCCAAGCGGGCUGUCAUCUGCCUUUUACUGAGGAGUGACUUUCGUCUGGCCACUCUACCAUAAAUGCCUGAUUGGUGUAGUGCUGCAGAGAUGGUUGUCCUUCUGAAAGGUUCUCGCAUCUCCACAGAGGAACUCUAUAGCUCUGUCAGAGGGACCAUCGGGUUCUUGCUCACCUUCCUGACCAAGGCCCUUCACACCAGAUUGCUCAGUUUGGCUGGGCGGCCAGCUCUAGGAAGAGUCUUGGCGGCUCCAAACUUCUUCCAUUUAAGAUUGAUGAUGGACUUCCUAUUCCUGCAGGACAUAUAUUCUGUAUGAUUCCUGCAGGAUUGUUUUCCUGAAAGACAACCUGCAUGAUUCACUCAACCAAAUACUUGUUUAUUAUUUAACCCUCUGUUCCCCAUGUUGUGUUCGUGAGUGAUUGUUUAUGGUAAUUCGGUCCGUGUUUGUGGGCUAUCAUUGUUGCCUUGUAUAUUUGUAUUUUUUGAGUAAAGUACUUUAAUUACUCAUAUCUACUGUCCUGUGCCUGACUCCCUACACCAGCUACACAUAGAACCGUUACACAGUGAAAAGAAGGAAGCCUGUACGGAAUAAAAAUAUUCCGAAAAAUGUAUCCUGAUUGCAAUAAGGCACUAAAGUAAAACUGCUACAAAUUUGACACAAGUAGUUAUUAACAGUUGACAUUAGAGUAUAUGGCAACAGGAUGGACAGUCAUUUAUAACACCCAUUAUAACUAGUUUUAUAACAUCUUAUGUUGUUACUCAUAACUAUUUAAAACUAAAUAUGACAGUUUAUGACAAAUGUUAUCAUGUGUUCUAUAGGUGUUAUAAAGGCUUUAUUAAUUCAUACAUUAGGAAACCUACAGUAAAGUGUUACAGAGGUUUCUCCAGCAACAACAUAUGGAGGGUGCUGGCACAGAAGUCCACUACACUACACAUGGGUAAGUGUAUUUGAUUUACAGAGCGUAGUGACACUGACACUGACCUUACCCUAGCACUAAUCCUAAUCCCAGGCCCAAAUUGCAGAUCUGUCAUCAUUGAAGUCCAAAAUCUGUCGUCAUUGUAAAACAAAUCCCGACCUACCGUUUGCAACAUUCGGAGUCUGCAAGAAGAGCCCUGUGGCUUCAUGCUAUUGGGUGUGGGAGAGUGGGAGGUGUCCAAGUAGGCUACACAUAGCUAUGUGUGUGGAAAACAGGAUUAUUUGGGAAAUCGUUCUUCUUGCAAAGCAUGUAAACGUUUUAAUCAAACUACUAUAUAAAUCUGACUAUCCACAAUAAUCACAUUAUUGUCUGCAUGUAACUGUACUCAAUUAUGAAACGCAGGUUGCUGUGAUCUGUGCCUGUGUUUGAGUGAGUGCACAUGUGGGGGAGGGGGACAUUUUCAGAGAGCGAGGGAAAGUGAGUGGGAGAUGAGUGGAGUAAAGUUUUGAGUUUCAACUUCAUUCAUUGGAGUUUAUUUUUUAUUUUUUUAUCAAACUUGGUUCGUGAUUGGGCUACGAGAUGUGGUCAUGUCUAGAUUGGAUACAUAUUUUUUCAAACUUUCAACUUCCCCUUUCGAUUUCUGCGUUCACAAAACACAGGAGAUUUUCUGUUUGCACAUUCCACUUUUAGACUUCAUCUGAGUAUGGCAGCCCAACAACUAAAAUUGGCAAGGUGGCAGAUAGUGAAUGAUUUGAAUGAGCCUAAUAUCAAGGCUAUAUGUGACAAUUUACUACAAAAAAAUGUGAUCAAUAAAUUUGAGAGGGACUCCAUGACACAUAGGAUGCUAGAUAGGGCAGAUAUGGCACGACAACUUGUGGACACUGUUAUCAGCAAAGGUAACAACGCCUCCACAUUAAUGAUAGAAGCACUGCAGCAAGUUGACCAACACCUCUGCAAUGAGAUCGAGAGAAACCUUGCGCUGGCCAAUCACACUGUAGUCCAGGCUGGUGCUCAGGGUGCUCCGGAUGCACCACCAAAUUACGAUGAUUUGAUAUGAGAAUGACUGCAGAGAAAGACAACAGAAGUCACAAUUUUGUGCCUGGACUCCAGACAACCAGAUGACAAUGGUGUUGUUUCAGAAACUAACUGUAUCUUGAUAAUGUGCUACCGUUGGACUGAAAUGUUGGUGGUUUACCCAAUAAAUUACUGGGAGCUUAUAUAUA